RNAcentral lists this ribosomal RNA (496 nucleotides) under uncultured bacterium. RNAcentral describes it as "partial 16S ribosomal RNA". It matches the Rfam family "Bacterial small subunit ribosomal RNA", at positions 29 to 507 of the family's 1533-position model. The record is from RNAcentral.
AUGAACGCUGGCGGCGUGCCUAAUCCCUGCAAGUCGCGCGCACGGACGAGAAGCUUGCUUCUCUGAUGUUAGCGGCGGACGGGUGAGUAACACGUGGAUAACCUACCUAUAAGACUGGGAUAACUUCGGGAAACCGGAGCUAAUACCGGAUAAUAUUUUGAACCGCAUGGUUCAAAAGUAAAAGACGGUCUUGCUGUCACUUAUAGAUGGAUCCGCGCUGCAUUAGCUAGUUGGUAAGGUAACGGCUUACCAAGGCAACGAUGCAUAGCCGACCUGAGAGGGUGAUCGGCCACACUGGAACUGAGACACGGUCCAGACUCCUACGGGAGGCAGCAGUAGGGAAUCUUCCGCAAUGGGCGAAAGCCUGACGGAGCAACGCCGCGUGAGUGAUGAAGGUCUUCGGAUCGUAAAACUCUGUUAUUAGGGAAGAACAUAUGUGUAAGUAACUGUGCACAUCUUGACGGUACCUAAUCAGAAAGCCACGGCUAACUACGUG